AUGUUUAUUUCUACAGAUGAGGAGCCAUGCAGCCUUGAUUGGGAGACAUGUUACAAAAUAAUUAAGGGAGUGUGUGAGGGUUUAAAUUAUCUUCAUAAUGGACAUAAAGAUUCUAUUUACCAUCUAGACUUAAAGCCUGCAAAUGUAUUGCUGGACAACAACCUGAUGCCGAAAAUUGGAGAUUUUGGUAUAUCAAGAAUCUUCCCUUCAAGAAAAACCAGUACCACCGCAACAAGGUUUAUGGGGACAAUGUGA
RNAcentral lists this ribosomal RNA (255 nucleotides) under Triticum aestivum (bread wheat). Its description in RNAcentral is "partial small subunit ribosomal RNA". The record is from RNAcentral. Lineage: Eukaryota; Viridiplantae; Streptophyta; Magnoliopsida; Poales; Poaceae.